CGGCGCUCAAGGCAUCGUGGGUGGCUUGCAGUUGUUCCGGGUCGCUGUCGAGGAACGCGGCGUUCAGUUGCUGGGCGCCGA
Molecule: transfer RNA, 81 nt
Filed under: Pseudomonas fluorescens
Lineage: Bacteria; Pseudomonadati; Pseudomonadota; Gammaproteobacteria; Pseudomonadales; Pseudomonadaceae
Description: tRNA-Arg(ccg)
Source: RNAcentral